Molecule: long non-coding RNA, 1298 nt
Organism: Pseudoliparis swirei
Lineage: Eukaryota; Metazoa; Chordata; Actinopteri; Perciformes; Liparidae
Exons: 2
Source: RefSeq, a predicted model, not a curated record
CUCACAUUUCACUCGUAUCGACGGGAAAACGGUAUUCGAAGCAACAUCGACCUUGGCUCAGGAGUACAUUGCGCACAGUCCAGUCUGACACUAGUGGCUUUGUUAGUCUGGUUAUAAACAAACAGAAUAUUAUUUUAAUCAUUUUGUCAUAGCUUAUUACUAAUGAAAUACAAGUUGGAUUUAGCGCUGUGACGCUGACAAAGGCAAGUGUAGGAUACUUUUUAAUUUGCCAGAACAUGUCAUAAGGACAAAUGCCUUCUUUCAAGUGUCAUAGUAAUCCCUUGGGUGAGAAUAAAAGGGUUAUGAGCAAUGUCCUGAAAAAUAUCUUAAAGUGGAUACUCAAAAUUGUAUUGUGCCUUCUUUUGCAGAGUGAGGACAUUGAUCUCAAGAGGGAGUGUGUCCUCUGUGUGUCUCCCUCAAUGAGGACAGCAACACUCUCAUCAAGGAGUACUUGAACGUCAACAGUGAGGAAGCUGAGCGAGAGAUCGCGCAGACCACCAUGGGCCUUUACAGGAUUAUCAAAGAAGGUGCUGAUAAAGAGGACAAGCCAAAGGAUGUUGGAGUGGUGAUCGAAGGUGUGGAGCUGCUAUGCAAUCUGAGAGGCAUUGCCUUUGGACGUGCCAUGCUCUUUGGCCUAAUUUACACUCUCAACCUGAGCUAUCCCUGAGAACUCAAAUUCACUUUUGAGUUCAUCCAGAAAGUGUUGAUGAACUUGGAUGGAAAGAAGUUGUCCCCAAAGGUCCAAACACUUAAAAUCAAGAUGCUUCAAUGAGCUCACAUGGUCAGCACUGGAGAGUUGAGCUAGCCACAUUUUGGCGUGUUGGACAUUGAUAUAUUGACCUGGUAAGACUGUAAAGAAGCUAGUGACUUACUAGUUUGUGGUACUGUUGUUAGGUUCACUGGAAAAGCUGUUAUGUGUUCUAAUUGUUGCAUUACCCAGGUUUAUCAAUACUCGUAUCCAUUUUAUUAAUGAUUAAUCCAUUUUGUAUUUUAUUAUUCAUCAUAAUCACAACUCUAAUUUUUAAGUUGUUGAUGUCAUAAUGCAUGGCUAGACUGGAUAUAUUGUAUACCUGUUUAACACUUCAUGACUAAAAUGUUGUUUUCUAAUUGUUCCAUUACCCAGGUUUACCAAUACUGGUAUCAGUUUUAUUAAUAAUUAAUCCAUUUUGUAUUACUAUUCAUCAUAAUGAUCAUAAUCACAACUCUAAUUUUUAAGUUGUUGGUGUCAUAUUGUGACUGUUUGGAUACCUGUUUAACACUUUUUUUUGGUAUUCGUCAAUAAAGCCUUCUGAAUUGUC